UUGGAGGGCAAGUCUGGUGCCAGCAGCCGCGGUAAUUCCAGCUCCAAUAGCGUAUAUUAGAGUUGUUGCAGUUAAAAAGCUCGUAGUUGAAUUUCGGGGUCAGUAGGUUGGUCAUGCCACUGGUUUGUACUGGUCUCACUGAUUCCUCCUUCCUGAUGAGCCGUAAUGCCAUUAAUUUGGUGUUGCGAGGAAUCUGGACUGUUACUUUGAAAAAAUUAGAGUGUUUAAAGCAAGCUAACGCUUGAAUACAUUAGCAUGGAAUAAUGAAAUAGGACGUUCGAUCCUAUUUUGUUGGUUUCUAGGAUUGACGUAAUGAUUAAUAGGGAUAGUUGGGGGCAUUAGUAUUCAAUUGUCAGAGGUGAAAUUCUUGGAUUUAUUGAAGACUAACUACUGCGAAAGCAUUUGCCAAGGAUGUUUUCAUUAAUCAAGAACGAAAGUUAGGGGAUCGAAGACGAUCAGAUACCGUCGUAGUCUUAACCAUAAACUAUGCCGACUAGGGAUCGGAUGAUGUUAAUUUUUUAAUGACUCAUUCGGCGCCUUACGGGAAACCAAAGUGUUUGGGUUC
RNAcentral lists this ribosomal RNA (565 nucleotides) under uncultured Glomeromycotina. RNAcentral's name for it is "SSU rRNA". It matches the Rfam family "Eukaryotic small subunit ribosomal RNA", at positions 548 to 1114 of the family's 1831-position model. Lineage: Eukaryota; Fungi; Glomeromycota. The record is from RNAcentral.